Molecule: ribosomal RNA, 460 nt
Filed under: uncultured bacterium
Lineage: Bacteria
Description: partial 16S ribosomal RNA
Rfam family: Bacterial small subunit ribosomal RNA
Source: RNAcentral
CCUACGGGUGGCUGCAGUGAGGAAUCUUGGUCAAUGGCCGUAAGGCUGAACCAGCCAAGUCGCGUGAAGGAAGAAGGAUCUAUGGUAUGUAAACUUCUUUUAUAGGGGAAUAAAGGUAUCCACGUGUGGCUAUUUGCAUGUACCCUAUGAAUAAGCAUCGGCUAACUCCGUGCCAGCAGCCGCGGUAAUACAGAGGCUGCGAGCGUUCUCCUGAUUUAUUGGGGUUAAAGGGUGCGUAGGUUGUUUUGUAAGUCAGAGGUGAAAGUUUGUGGCUCAACCAUAAAAUUGCCGUUGAAACUGGCAGACUUGAGUGUGUUUGAGGUAGGCGGAAUGCGUGGUGUAGCGGUGAAAUGCAUAGAUAUCACGCAGAACUCCGAUUGCGAAGGCAGCUUACUAAGCCAUAACUGACACUGAAGCACGAAAGCGUGGGGAUCAAACAGGAUUAGAUACCCCUGUAGUC